UACGGAGGGAGCUAGCGUUAUUCGGAAUUACUGGGCGUAAAGCGCACGUAGGCGGCUUUGUAAGUAAGAGGUGAAAGCCCAGAGCUCAACUCUGGAAUUGCCUUUUAGACUGCAUCGCUUGAAUCAUGGAGAGGUCAGUGGAAUUCCGAGUGUAGAGGUGAAAUUCGUAGAUAUUCGGAAGAACACCAGUGGCGAAGGCGGCUGACUGGACCAUGUAUUGACGCUGAGGUGCGA
This 234-nucleotide ribosomal RNA is filed under the name uncultured Sphingomonadales bacterium. Its description in RNAcentral is "partial 16S ribosomal RNA". It matches the Rfam family "Bacterial small subunit ribosomal RNA", at positions 524 to 756 of the family's 1533-position model. The record is from RNAcentral. Lineage: Bacteria; Pseudomonadati; Pseudomonadota; Alphaproteobacteria; Sphingomonadales.